This 397-nucleotide ribosomal RNA is filed under the name uncultured bacterium. RNAcentral's name for it is "partial 16S ribosomal RNA". It matches the Rfam family "Bacterial small subunit ribosomal RNA", at positions 523 to 918 of the family's 1533-position model. The record is from RNAcentral.
AUACGUAGGGGGCGAGCGUUGUCCGGAAUGAUUGGGCGUAAAGGGCGCGUAGGCGGCGCGGUAAGUCUGGAGUGAAAGUCCUGCUUUCAAGGUGGGAAUUGCUUUGGAUACUGCCGCGCUUGAGUGCAGGAGAGGUUAUCGGAAUUCCCGGUGUAGCGGUGAAAUGCGUAGAGAUCGGGAGGAACACCAGUGGCGAAGGCGGGUAACUGGACUGCAACUGACGCUGAGGCGCGAAAGUGUGGGGAGCAAACAGGAUUAGAUACCCUGGUAGUCCACACUGUAAACGAUGAAUGCUAGGUGUAAGAGGUAUCGACCCCUUUUGUGCCGGAGUCAACACAAUAAGCAUUCCGCCUGGGGAGUACGGCCGCAAGGUUGAAACUUAAAUGAAUUGACGGGG